AUGAACGCUGGCGGCGUGCCUAAUACAUGCAAGUCGAGCGAACAGACGAGGAGCUUGCUCCUCUGACGUUAGCGGCGGACGGGUGAGUAACACGUGGAUAACCUACCUAUAAGACUGGGAUAACUACGGGAAACCGGAGCUAAUACCGGAUAAUAUAUUGAACCGCAUGGUUCAAUAGUGAAAGACGGUUUUGCUGUCACUUAUAGAUGGAUCCGCGCCGCAUUAGCUAGUUGGUAAGGUAACGGCUUACCAAGGCAACGAUGCGUAGCCGACCUGAGAGGGUGAUCGGCCACACUGGAACUGAGACACGGUCCAGACUCCUACGGGAGGCAGCAGUAGGGAAUCUUCCGCAAUGGGCGAAAGCCUGACGGAGCAACGCCGCGUGAGUGAUGAAGGUCUUCGGAUCGUAAAACUCUGUUAUUAGGGAAGAACAAAUGUGUAAGUAACUAUGCACGUCUUGACGGUACCUAAUCAGAAAGCCACGGCUAACUACGUG
RNAcentral lists this ribosomal RNA (496 nucleotides) under uncultured bacterium. RNAcentral describes it as "partial 16S ribosomal RNA". It matches the Rfam family "Bacterial small subunit ribosomal RNA", at positions 29 to 507 of the family's 1533-position model. The record is from RNAcentral.